CACGGAGUUAGCCGGUGCUUCUUCUGUAGGUAACGUCAAUUGCGCAGGUAUUAACUACGCACCUUUCCUCCCUACUGAAAGUGCUUUACAACCCGAAGGCCUUCUUCACACACGCGGCAUUGCUGGAUCAGGGUUCCCCCCAUUGUCCAAUAUUCCCCACUGCUGCCUCCCGUAGGAGUCUGGGCCGUGUCUCAGUCCCAGUGUGGCUGAUCAUCCUCUCAGACCAGCUAUGGAUCGUCGCCUUGGUAGGCCUUUACCCACCAACUUAGCUAAUCCAACAUGGGCUCAUCUCUUGCCGCGAGGCCUUUCGGUCCCCCGCUUUCACCCUUAGGUCUUAUGCGGUAUUAGCGUAAGUUUCCCUACGUUACUCCCCCAGCAAAAGGCAGAUUCCAUGCGUUACUCACCCGUCCGCCACUCGACGCCUGGACGCAAGCCUCCAUUCCGUUUCCGUUCGUACUUGCAUGUGUUAACGCAUCGCCCGCGACGCCGUUCAAUCCUGACGCAGGACUACGUAAACUCGUACCG
Molecule: ribosomal RNA, 525 nt
Filed under: uncultured Cardiobacterium sp.
Lineage: Bacteria; Pseudomonadati; Pseudomonadota; Gammaproteobacteria; Cardiobacteriales; Cardiobacteriaceae
Description: partial 16S ribosomal RNA
Source: RNAcentral